CUUGCUCCUGGAUUCAGCGGCGGACGGGUGAGUAAUGCCUAGGAAUCUGCCUGGUAGUGGGGGACAACGUUUCGAAAGGAACGCUAAUACCGCAUACGUCCUACGGGAGAAAGCAGGGGACCUUCGGGCCUUGCGCUAUCAGAUGAGCCUAGGUCGGAUUAGCUAGUUGGUGAGGUAAUGGCUCACCAAGGCGACGAUCCGUAACUGGUCUGAGAGGAUGAUCAGUCACACUGGAACUGAGACACGGUCCAGACUCCUACGGGAGGCAGCAGUGGGGAAUAUUGGACAAUGGGCGAAAGCCUGAUCCAGCCAUGCCGCGUGUGUGAAGAAGGUCUUCGGAUUGUAAAGCACUUUAAGUUGGGAGGAAGGGCAGUAAAUUAAUACUUUGCUGUUUUGACGUUACCGACAGAAUAAGCACCGGCUAACUCUGUGCCAGCAGCCGCGGUAAUACAGAGGGUGCAAGCGUUAAUCGGAAUUACUGGGCGUAAAGCGCGCGUAGGUGGUUUGUUAAGUUGGAUGUGAAAUCCCCGGGCUCAACCUGGGAACUGCAUCCAAAACUGGCAAGCUAGAGUAUGGUAGAGGGUGGUGGAAUUUCCUGUGUAGCGGUGAAAUGCGUAGAUAUAGGAAGGAACACCAGUGGCGAAGG
This 646-nucleotide ribosomal RNA is filed under the name Pseudomonas sp. 2.19. Its description in RNAcentral is "bacterial SSU rRNA". It matches the Rfam family "Bacterial small subunit ribosomal RNA", at positions 79 to 721 of the family's 1533-position model. Lineage: Bacteria; Pseudomonadati; Pseudomonadota; Gammaproteobacteria; Pseudomonadales; Pseudomonadaceae. The record is from RNAcentral.